GCGGGCAAGGGGCUAAGGGGAGGGGGGCCCAGUGCCAGCCGUUUAAAAAUGCCCCGUGGCGGUAAGGGGUGCCAGAGGCCCGGUCAAGUUAGUUGAGAAGCAGUGACGCCCCCAACCGUCCCCUAAAUGGGCUGCCCCCCGUGUCUGGGCCACAAGGAGCCACACCUGGACCAGACCCCAGGAGAGGCAAGGGCACUGGCCGGUGGGAGCCACUCUUGCAACGCUGACAUUGGACGAGCAAGCACCCCAGAGAGGGCCUCCUGAGGACCAGAGAGGAGGGCAGGCGGCAGAGGCCCUGAAAACAGAGCUCCUCCCCGGAGCUUCCCAAGAAGACAGAGGCUCCCCCGGGCUGGGCUUGGCGACAUUUCCUGAAGACAGUAGGGAGCAGUGAGGGGAAACUGGCCCGUUUCUGGGAGCAACGCCGCAGACUGCCAACAGCCGGCACCAGGUAAGAAUCCGCCCGCUGUGAGUCUAAGGCCACCUGCUCAAGUGUCUCCUUGGACACAGGGGAAAGGGAGCCACAGAGAGGGGAAGCACGUGGGAUAAGUGACCACACCGGUAGAACUCAGGUCUCCCAAGUGGCCCGCUGUCUCCUGACUGGGGACCGAGAGUAAGAAGGAGCCUCUGGUGGGGUAAGUGGAAUAGGAGGGCUGUCGACCUCCUUCUCAUCUGAAGGAGACCAGGGGUCAGGGCCAGCACUGUCUGCCUGCUGGACAAGUAAGAGAGACUCAAGGGAAGAGUUCUUGGGCAAGAGGACACGCUUCCUGCAUCUCUGCCCCUCCUCCCAGCCCACCACCUCCUCCUCCAGGAAGUCCUCCCAGCUUUCCCCCUGGGGCGGGAACCUCUUUGUCCUCUAAGACCUUGGCAGUCCUUUCUUAGGCUCUCCCUGGCGCCACUUGGAUCUGUGCCCUAUUCACCUUGCCAGGGACAUUCUUCUUCCAUUUCAGCCUGACUGCACUCCUCCAGGGCAAGGACAUCAGUCCCACCUCCCCUCGGCACAUAGAAGUCACCCUAGGCUUGCUGGAUGGUGAGGUGAAAUGGUGAGACCCUGUCUCAAACCCAAAGGAUUGGUAAAUUGGCCAGGGGAGGAGACAUUCGGCAUAGAGGUUAAGACGAGGGAGCCGGGGUUGGCUGUUCUGAGUUAGGAACCCAGCUCAGCUCCUAACUCCGUGGCCUUGGAAAAUUCCCUUCUCACAGAGCCUUGGGGAUACGAGGGGAUUAGCACAAUUAAAACAGUCAACAAAUGACUGCUCUUAUUACAGUCGGCGUCACUGUGAUUUUCCUAGCUACAAGGAACAGAAGUACGCAGCCUAUAGCCAGAGGAGAAGCAAACAGCUUCCCCCAAAGGCUGCUCAUGGAGCCCUGUCCCUGCAUCACUUUCUCCCAAGGGAACGUGGGCCUGCCUCCCAUCUACUUCCUGUUUCCAUACCCAGGAGGGGGGCUCUCUCGGCCACGAUAUUCGGAGCCUAAUGGGAUGUGCGGAAACAGCCCGCGACUCCCCUGGUUCGAGCCAGGCUGUGCCCACAGAACCAUCUCCUCCCCGUCCCGGUCCCCCGCGUGGAGGUCACAACAUACCCCUGCCGGCCUCACCAGCUGUCCUGAAGGUCCAGCGUCACGGGGCGCAGUUCCCCGAGCUGCAGUCACGCAGACGCCCCCUUUCGUAUUUUUGCCACAUCUGCAAACCGUCACAAUAGUUUUACAUUUAACACGAGUCACUGGCAGUAGGUACGUACAAAUCGCUACCGUUCAUGAGAAACUCUAACACUGCUCGUGACGAGGAGACCAAGGUGAGAAAAAGCAGAGCGAGCCCCAGGCGGUGUGAUUACCGUCCCCCUGGUACCGUGGCUUGCAAGGGCCUGGGCCUGAGGCCUGAGACCCGAGGGGAAGACGCAGGGACGCCAAAGGUGGGCAGCUGAAGGCUUCAGAAAGAGUUGUGCAGCAAGGGACGCGGGAGGCUGGCUUUAUCAGCUUGGUUCCCGGGGCCCUGGAAAGUUCACUCUGUCGGGACAGCCCCCGGCCCCCAGCUUCUUACUGAAAGCUUCAAGCUGUCAGGCCCGGCACGUUCUCUCGCAGGGCUGGUGGGAGAGUGGUGUGGACAGGCUGUGAGCUGCCCAGGACCCCGAAGGUGGGUUGUUGGAAUCAUUCCCCAGCUAAAUGCAGUUUGGGAAGAGUUCCUACAGGAGAAUUCCAUAUUAGAGAAAGGCAUUUCUUUGGCUGGGAAUACCUCAGGAUGGGGCUGUCCCUCUCAGGAGGCCGUGGGGACUGAGCUGCUCCAAGUGGCAGACCAGAGACAGAGACUCUUGAUUCGGGCCAAAUUUCAGAUUUCUGAUAGAGGCACAGGAGAUACUUUUUUUUUUCUUUUUUUUAAGGAAGUGUGUGGUUUUUUGCUCUCUGCUAAGGAGAGGAUACCCACCGCCUCCCCUCUUAAGCCUUCAGAUAUCUCUGAAAGUAUACGUCAUGCACCACAUGUCGCCACAUAUCAAGGCCACCACAGUAGACAUCCAGCAACGCAGGAAGGUCCUCUGGGGGUUCCCCGAGAACUUGGCGGGGCAGGAGGGACCGAGGGAGCUCUGCCUGCUCACUCGGAGGUUCCCACCCAAGCCCGCUCUCAAUAGAAAAACAAUUUGUCUCCAUGGCCAUUCAUUCAUCCACCAAAUGGCAUUCCCUGGGGCCCAGUAUCACGUACAAAGACCGCAGCAAGGCCCAAGGACACCCCUAAACCCACAAAUGUGGGUGCUCUCCCCAGGGAACUGGAUACUAACCCAGUCAGACCCAGAUGCCAUUUGCAGCCUGACCCCAGAAAGAAACAGAUUGAGGAAAACAAUUCAGCCAUUCAACCAAUGCUUAAUGAGCGUCUACACGGGGGAACCUACCUUCAGUGGUGAGCCCAGCCAGCCGGGUCCCUUCCCUCACAGGUGGUCCACACAGCCCACAAGUGGAGGAGGUCGGAAAAGAGAAUCGCACACCACGUGUGACACAGGAUUAGAAAGUGGACACAGCAUGUGUGAGGACGUUGACCAGGGCGUCCUGAUGUUUGAGGCGGUGGAGGAGGGCUUCCCAGAAAAAGCAGCCUUUUGAGUAGGCACGGAGCACUGGGAGAGGAGUCAGCAGGGGGCGUGAGGGGGAGCACCCCCUAAGAGUCCAGAGGUGGUGGGCACUGGAGAAGAGGAAGAGGUCCUUGUGAUCUUCAGUGAGGGUUUGGGAAUUUAGCCGGAAGGAGGGUGAGCGCUUUCAGGCUCGUAAGCAAGCGUGGAGGCGAUAGGAGCGUUCCGGAAGGAUGUCUGAGAAGGAUGGCUGGGGAGUCGGGAGGAGCCGGAGCAGGAAGUCCACACAAGUACCCUGAAGGUGCCGUCUGGCUGGAAUGAGCAGCGGGUAAAGGUGGGGAUGGGGCCACCGUAUCGGGUGAGUUCGGGCUGCUCUGCAAAGACAGAAGCGGCCUGCCCAGAGCAGGGCUGGUGGGAGAUGCGAGGGGCUAACGGAGAAGGGGUUUCUCUUGGGGGUGAGGACGUGGUCUAAAAUUAAUUGCGACAGUGGUGGCACAACUUUGUGAACAUAUUAAAAACCAUUUCGUCGUACGUUUAAAUUGGGGGGGGGGGGGCGUGUGGAUUACAUCUCAACAAAGCUGGUUU
Molecule: long non-coding RNA, 3629 nt
Organism: Lynx canadensis (Canada lynx)
Lineage: Eukaryota; Metazoa; Chordata; Mammalia; Carnivora; Felidae
Exons: 3
Source: RefSeq, a predicted model, not a curated record